RNAcentral lists this ribosomal RNA (439 nucleotides) under uncultured bacterium. RNAcentral describes it as "bacterial SSU rRNA". It matches the Rfam family "Bacterial small subunit ribosomal RNA", at positions 957 to 1396 of the family's 1533-position model. The record is from RNAcentral.
CAACGCGAAGAACCUUACCUGGUCUUGACAUCCACGGAAGUUUUCAGAGAUGAGAAUGUGCCUUCGGGAACCGUGAGACAGGUGCUGCAUGGCUGUCGUCAGCUCGUGUUGUGAAAUGUUGGGUUAAGUCCCGCAACGAGCGCAACCCUUAUCCUUUGUUGCCAGCGGUCCGGCCGGGAACUCAAAGGAGACUGCCUGUGAUAAACUGGAGGAAGGUGGGGAUGACGUCAAGUCAUCAUGGCCCUUACGACCAGGGCUACACACGUGCUACAAUGGCGCAUACAAAGAGAAGCGACCUCGCGAGAGCAAGCGGACCUCAUAAAGUGCGUCGUAGUCCGGAUUGGAGUCUGCAACUCGACUCCAUGAAGUCGGAAUCGCUAGUAAUCGUGGAUCAGAAUGCCACGGUGAAUACGUUCCCGGGCCUUGUACACACCGCCCG